Molecule: long non-coding RNA, 118 nt
Organism: Ipomoea nil (Japanese morning glory)
Lineage: Eukaryota; Viridiplantae; Streptophyta; Magnoliopsida; Solanales; Convolvulaceae
Exons: 2
Source: RefSeq, a predicted model, not a curated record
ACACUAUCCGGAUGAAAAUCAUCACUCAGCUCAAAGCCAAUGAAGAGUUGAAGAAUACAACCAUAAAAAUGGUGGAACAGAGCAAGGUUCUGAACACUCAUGGGGCCGAGAAGCAGAC